GAUGAAGAACGUAGUGAAAUGCGAUACGUAAUGUGAAUUGCAGAAUUCAGUGAAUCAUCGAAUCUUUGAACGCAUAUUGCGCUCUCUGGUAUUCCGGAGAGCAUGCUUGUUUGAGUAUCAGUAAACACCUCAACUCCCCUUUCUUUUUUUGAAAUGGGAGCUGGACUUGAGUGAUCCCAACGCUUUUCUCACCGAAAAGUGGCGGGUUACUUGAAAUGCAGGUGCAGCUGGACUUUUCUCUGAGCUAAAAGCAUAUCUAUUUAGUCUGCCUAAAAAACAGAUUAUUACCUUUGCUGCAGCUAACAUAAAGGAGAUUAGUUCUUGUGCUGACUGAUGCAGGAUUCACAGAGACAGCUUCGGCUGGCCUUUGUAAACUCGAUCUCAAAUCAAGUAAGACUGCCCGCUGAACUUAAGCAUAUCAAUAAGCGGAGGA
Molecule: unclassified non-coding RNA, 433 nt
Filed under: soil metagenome
Description: partial contains 5.8S ribosomal RNA, internal transcribed spacer 2, and large subunit ribosomal RNA
Rfam family: 5.8S ribosomal RNA (bases 1-120)
Source: RNAcentral